Non-coding RNA from Pelobates cultripes (western spadefoot toad), 666 nucleotides. The record is from the annotation of a GenBank genome assembly. NCBI's taxonomy places the organism in Eukaryota, Metazoa, Chordata, Amphibia, Anura, Pelobatidae.
AUUGACCUCGUCUUAUUUAAGUUGCUUUCUGGAGUAGCCUUAGUCUGGUGUCUAUCUAAGCUGACCGUUGCUGUGGUACUCGUGUGUGUACUUGGUUUUGGGGUCUUCAGGCGGUCAGGUUUUGUCGUUGCAGGUAAGGUCUUUGGUCGCGUGUAUUGCCUCUGGACUGUGUGCAAGCGUGUUUGCAUAUUGUCUGGUGGUUCCUCUAAUUGUUUGUCCCUACUAAGGGGUAGUUGGGCAUUCCUAGAGACUAAGGUGCUCUCCUGAUUUGUUUGUUGUGUGUCGAUGUUUCUGAGUUCUUAUAUGUUGUCUUAUUUGUUUCGGGGUGGUCUUUUUCAGGGUUGUUGGAGAGUGAGCGGUGAAGUGGGAGGGUGGAAGGGGCUGGUCCAGGUGUGUUGGGGGUCUGUGAUAGGUUUCUUCAGUGGGUGUGAUUCAGGUCUGAUACCUUCACCUUUACUGGUCUGUGCCUUUCCUUGGUUGCCCUUGUUAUAGUUGUGGGUUUCGGUGUUGGUCGUGAGCAGUUGUUUCGUCUUGUGGUUUGGGGUGUGCUGUUGCUUUUGUGUCCUUGUGUAGUGUUUAUGCUGGUGUGGGUUUGUGUGUGUCUCCUUCCCUCUUUGCCCUUUCUCGCCUCUCUGUUUCUUGUUCUCCCUUUGAGGGACCCGAAGG